CCUACGGGGGGCAGCAGUGAGGAAUAUUGGUCAAUGGACGAGAGUCUGAACCAGCCAAGUAGCGUGAAGGAUGACUGCCCUAUGGGUUGUAAACUUCUUUUAUAUGGGAAUAAAACGUUCCACGUGUGGGAUUUUGUAUGUACCAUAUGAAUAAGGAUCGGCUAACUCCGUGCCAGCAGCCGCGGUAAUACGGAGGGUCCGAGCGUUAUCCGGAUUUAUUGGGUUUAAAGGGAGCGUAGGUGGAUUGUUAAGUCAGUUGUGAAAGUUUGCGGCUCAACCGUAAAAUUGCAGUUGAAACUGGCAGUCUUGAGUACAGUAGAGGUGGGCGGAAUUCGAGGUGUAGCGGUGAAAUGCUUAGAUAUCACGAAGAACUCCGAUUGCGAAGGCAGUUCACUGGACUGCAACUGACACUGAGGCUCGAAAGUGUGGGUAUCAAACAGGAUUAGAUACCCCAGUAGUC
This 460-nucleotide ribosomal RNA is filed under the name uncultured bacterium. RNAcentral's name for it is "partial 16S ribosomal RNA". It matches the Rfam family "Bacterial small subunit ribosomal RNA", at positions 338 to 795 of the family's 1533-position model. The record is from RNAcentral.